GCCUUUGUGGUGUAACGGUAGCACACUCGGCGCGUAUUCGAGAGGUUCAGGUUCGAGCCCCGGCGAGGGCG
Molecule: transfer RNA, 71 nt
Filed under: Stegodyphus mimosarum
Lineage: Eukaryota; Metazoa; Arthropoda; Arachnida; Araneae; Eresidae
Rfam family: tRNA
About the family: Transfer RNA (tRNA) molecules are approximately 80 nucleotides in length. Their secondary structure includes four short double-helical elements and three loops (D, anti-codon, and T loops).
Source: Rfam by way of RNAcentral